Molecule: transfer-messenger RNA, 354 nt
Filed under: Terriglobia
Lineage: Bacteria; Pseudomonadati; Acidobacteriota
Also listed under: 1 other name
Description: f 20CM-2-55-15 X1 Standard tmRNA
Rfam family: transfer-messenger RNA
About the family: Bacterial tmRNA, also known as 10Sa RNA or SsrA, is named for its dual tRNA and mRNA-like properties. Its role is to liberate the mRNA from a stalled ribosome.
Source: RNAcentral
GGGGGCGCACCGGUUUCGACGGGAACGAAGAAGGAAGAGAUGCAUACCGAGGCCCAUGACCUCGUUAAAACGUGGAAAACAAUCAACUGCUGACUAUCAACCAGCACUAGCCGCAGCGUAAGCUGCGACUCGUCCUAAAUCGGCUUUCCUGCCGGCUGAUCCAAGGGCGUCACUUCAGACAGGAUAGCCUCAAGUCGCCGGCCCGGCGAGGCGAGGCGAAUUUCAAUGGGCUGGCGUUCCGGCUAGCUUGCAGGCUCCUUUAGGCCGGGACGCGACAAUACGGAACCUGACAAGUAUGUAGAUUCUCCGACGGAACGUUUUCGGACGCGGGUUCGAUUCCCGCCGCCUCCAUAG